GGACUACUGGGGUAUCUAAUCCUGUUUGCUCCCCUAGCUUUCGCGCCUCAGCGUCAGUUAUGGUCCAGUGAGCCGCUUUCGCCACAGGUGUUCCUUCCGAUAUCUACGCAUUUCACCGCUACACCGGAAAUUCCACUCACCUCUCCCAUACUCAAGCCCGACAGUUUCUAAUGCAGACUCUGGGUUGAGCCCAGAGAUUUCACAUCAGACUUGUCAGACCGCCUACGCGCCCUUUACGCCCAAUAAUUCCGAACAACGCUUGCCCCCCUCGUAUUACCGCGGCUGCUGGCAC
This 292-nucleotide ribosomal RNA is filed under the name uncultured Acidobacteriota bacterium. RNAcentral's name for it is "uncultured Acidobacteria bacterium partial 16S ribosomal RNA". The record is from RNAcentral. Lineage: Bacteria; Pseudomonadati; Acidobacteriota.